CAAGAUUACAUUUAGAAAUGCUAACCAAUUAUCAAUACAAAUACAAAAAUAUUUUAUAUCAAAUACAUACAAAACUCAAAUAAUUAUUCAGUACACAUGUAUUGAAAAUUUUAUCUAAAACGGUCAUCAAAGAAGGAGGUAACUUUCUCUGAAGGGAGUAGAGAACUUCCACUUUGACCAUGGCCUUGUCUAAAUAUGAUCAGAGUCGGUGAACUCAGGGGGCUUCCAUAGCCUUGGCAGCUCAUGACAAGAGCCUAGGGUGAUUACUGAGGCCAUAAACAAGAGUGUCAAUUUGUUAAGUCAACAACAGGAGUCACUGUGCAUUUACUCUUCAUGUAGGAUCUUUGUCCUUAGUGUGCUGUACAUUGAGAUUUAAUGCUAUAACUAGUACUCAAACAGUAUUUUUCACUUUAUGUUUCUGUGUGGGAGCAAACUGUUGAAAUCUUUACUUAAUGUAUGCUAAACUGAUCUUCUGUAUAUAAAGAGAAAUGAAAUGAAUCUUGAUGUGAAUGGAAGGGGAGAGGGAGUGGGAAAGGGGAGGGUUGCGGGUGGGAGGGGACGUUAUGGGGCGGACGCCAUUGUAAUUUAUAAGCUGUACUUUGGAAAUUUAUAUUCAUUAAAUAAAAGUUAAAAAAAUAAAAAAAUAUAAAAAAGAAAAUUUUAUCUAAAAUAUAUACUUACUUUUUUCUUGACAAAACAUCAGACUGCUAUACCAUACAAUUUUUUCACAAUUUAUUUUAUUUAUUUGAAAAGGCACAGUUGCAAAGAGAGAGUGAGAGAGAGAAAGAGAGAGAGAAUCUUCCAUCCACUGGUUCACUCCUCAAAUGGCUGCAAUUGUUGCGGCUGGUAUAGGCCAUGUCUUCCACAAGGUUGCAGGGCCCAAGCAAUUGGGCAUCCUCUGCUGCUUUCCUAGGUGCAUUAGUCGGAAGCUGGGUCAGAAGUAAUGCUGCUAGGCCUCAAACCAUCAUAUAUAUGGGAUGGCAGGUGCUCAGGCAGUGGCUUAACCCACUACACCACAAUGCUGGCCCCUUGAAUAUAAUUUCACAAAUGACUAAACAUUUUUUUAAUCCUUAUUUUAGUCUAAUUUUUAACUUUGACUUCUUUUUCUGUCCUUUCAGUAUCACAAGCUAA
Molecule: long non-coding RNA, 1131 nt
Filed under: Oryctolagus cuniculus (rabbit)
Lineage: Eukaryota; Metazoa; Chordata; Mammalia; Lagomorpha; Leporidae
Description: lncRNA (ENSOCUG00000031868.1)
Source: RNAcentral